Lytechinus pictus (painted urchin) is the source of this 2350-nucleotide long non-coding RNA. RefSeq lists it as uncharacterized. The record is from RefSeq and is a predicted model, not a curated record. The transcript has 2 exons. NCBI's taxonomy places the organism in Eukaryota, Metazoa, Echinodermata, Echinoidea, Temnopleuroida, Toxopneustidae.
AUUCAACAAGUAAAUGUCUCUGCGAGCAGUAUCCCUAUACGACUAAACUAUUCGAUUGUUUAGCUGUAGUUGUUUCGUUGAUAUACCGCACGACUCAUGAAAGGAAUACACGCAGCCUAGUAGACAUUUUCUCUAAUAUUAUGAUAUAUGUUAAUAUGCAUCAUGAUCAAACGCCAAAAUUUAGAACGAUGUUUGCUAUGGAUUCUUUUUCUACCAACCUUUGUAUGUACUUUGAGUACAAAACGUCCGAAUGUCGUAAUUUUUUACGCUGAUGAUUUGGGCUAUGGCGAUAUUGAGCCGUAUGGACAUCCAACUUCUUCUACGCCAAACCUUCGGCGACUAGCAUCAGACGGAUUGGUUCUAACACAAUUUUACUCUGCUGCCGCAGUGUGUAGUCCAUCAAGUACUGCACCUGUCCUAUCAAGGAUUGCCGCUUCAUCCAACUUAGAGGCAUCCAGCUUCCCCCAGCUUGAUAUACACCUUUACCUUCGGGGUGUUGAAUGAUCAAUGUCAGUUAUCAUCGAUUUGGUGUUCCAUUGGAUGGCUUGAUUGAUAGUGCAGCCUCAUAAAAGUCAUCUCUAAUUGUUGAAAUCAAACCAAUUUAGUACAAGUAUUCUGCGGAGGCAGUUCGGAUCGAAGUCAUCGUGUUUGUGUUCUUGAGAUAUGUCCGAUUCUCAUGUCACAGAUCCAUAGAGAAAACCUAAACUUUUGUCUUGAGAGAGAAUCUGCUGUCUAACCAGAUCUUGUUUCAGGUGUUAAAAUGCUCGAAGUGCACCUUUUCAAUACCGCAGUGAAUUGUGUAAUGUCUUCUAGGCCAUUUAUCGAACUUCUAAUAUUCACACAUCUUCAUAUCUUCAUAAGAUAGACUAUUUCAAAUUGAUAACGAAGAUAUCUUUCAGAGGAUGGUGGGUUCCUGGCAUGUUUGGCGUUCAUGUAGGUGAUUAUUAAUCCACUUAUUAUGAUCGGUAUUAAACCCAACAGCAUCCAAUAGCUUACCCAGCUCUGAUAGGCUGCAUGCGAGUCUGAGAUAUCACCAUCAAAGUCUAGGUCGAGAAUUUCUUCGAUUGUAGAGCCAGGAUUUCUCUUUCUAUGAGGAAAGCAGUUGCCUAAGUUAUGUUUGACUUGUCAACCGGUUUUGAUACCAGUGAACAUGUCAUUCUCCUUGGGAGACUGACAGUCUGUUUGGGAAUUGAUGAUUAUGCACUCCAAUGGCAUGUUUCCUCUUACCUUGCCAACAGAGCUGUAUGAAGCUGUAUUCAUCAUUGGCAUGCAGUCUCCUGUGACUAAGUCUGUCCUUUUCCCUUGUUCUUCAAACUGUACAUCACUCCUCUUGGCUCUGUAAUGUGACAACAUGGUCUUGGUAUACACUUCUAUGCUGAUGACAUCCAGCUGUAUACCUCACUUUUGAUCCAAAAGGUAAAUAUACAGAGGUUCGUGCAGCUGCUGUUGUUGGUGCUGCCAUUGAGGAUUCGAUGUUGGAUGAAUGUCAACUUCCUGGAGCUUAACAAUAAAAAGCGAAGUAUCUUGUUCUGUCAUCUCCAUAUAUGCGUAAUUAUUAUGACUACAACUCCAGUCUUAAUAGGUGAGGAAGCUAUAUAUCUCCAGUAUGCAAGGCUAGAUCUCUUGGCGUAGUCUUUGAUAGAACAAUGAGCGUGAAGAAACACACAUCACAUGUCUGCCAAUCUGCAUAUUACCUGCUCCACAGAAUUGCUGAGAUCAGACAUUGUCUUACAUGAGGUGGUGCAGAAAAUAUCAUCCAUGACCGGGUAACCUCUAGACUGGACUUCUGCAACUGUCUCCAUGCUGAUUUACCUUCAACAGGCAUCUCUAGCACUUUUUAACCAUAGAACACACUGUGAAAAUUUGUUCUGCAUUGGGCAGUGACUGGGCUGGAAACCUUGUUUUGCCCAUGUUUUAACCAUGGAGCUAAUCUGUGUUUAGCCCCAUGUUUUUAUCAUUUCCUCUUCUGUAUUCGAUAUCGUUUGUCAAAGAAUCUUCCAAGGCAAGGAUCGGAUAAAAGCUGUGGUUUUCAGUUAUCACUUUGAUGGUUGACUUGGGGAAAAUGUAUCGUUGCCAAAUAAAUAAAUAAAUCGGUAAUGACCAAAAAACUAGUAAGUGAUCCAGUAAUACAGACCUUUUGCAUUUAUUACAAAUUGUUCUUUGGUUAACUGCCAUGAUUGCAGUUCUGAUGGAGCUGAAUCAAAGAUAUAAUUUUGCUACAAGGAUAAUAACAAUGUACUGAUACUUAUAUCCGAUUGAUAAACUACACUGCGUGAAUCAUACGUUUAUUAUUUGAUCUGUUAUAAAACAUUUUAAUAUAUCUAUUUCAAUAAAUUUAAGUUCAGCAUGA